CCCACCGGCCUCACACUGCACUUAGAACCUCCUUAACCGUUCCUCGCGUGUAAGCUUUCAUUCCAAACCCAACCCGUCAUCAGAGAAGAUACCUCAGCCCUAGCUAGGCAUACAGUAGGUGCUAAACAAACAUUUCUUGGUGGGUUAACUCGAUGGUCUUAACUGGGGGCCCACCCCACCCUUGGAGAGAUCUGGCAACGUCUGGAAAUAUUUGUGGUUGUCACGACUAGGGGAGUAGGCAGAGACAAAGGAGGCUGCCAAACACCCUGCACCCCGAGGGACAGCUCCCCACGGCAAAGUCCUGAGUGUGAGAUGCCAGUGGUGCGAGGCGGAGUCCUGGCUGCUGGGGCACCUGGCCUGGCAGCCUCCGGGGGCAUCGCCUGCGCACCUUGGUACCUAACCUGAGCCUCGCCGGCUCUUUUGUGUUUUUUCUGUGCAAGUCUAGGCCCAGCCCUUCCCUAACCUCCGAUUGAGCAAAGCAAGACGAACUCCCCACCUGCUGUCCUUCCCUCUCCCCCCUCUCCUGUCCUUCCUCCUGGGGGUCUCUUCUGCCUGGAGGAUGCUGAGAGCCACUUAGAACCUCCUGAACUGUUCUUCACAUGUAAGCUUGGAGACAAGGAAACUCAGGCACAGAGACACCAAGUGCUUUGCCAAAGGGCACGGAGCUGGUCUGGGUAGUGACAGAAUUAGGAGCCAGGUUCCUGCCUCAGGCCCUUGGAUAAGAAAUGCCAACACAUUCCUUCACAGAUGUUUGCCAGGUGGGGUGGCAUGGGGUGCCAGUUCCUCUCCUCUAGAAUCUUUACUCCAGUUGGAGAAAGAAGCUAUGUCCUCGGAGAGGGGACGAGGGCCACCAAGACCGGGGAGUCGGAAACGUGAAGGCGCUGUUCGAAGGAAGGACCAUUCCGGCGGGAGCAUCGCGGGGGCUCCCUGAGCGGGAGGCACCACAGGCAGACACGGAGGGACAGGAAGGACCUGGGCGUGGAGAGGUGGAGGGAGGCAUCCCGGUCAGGAGAUAUUGGGGGGAAAGGAGCGUAGGACUGGGGAGCCACAGGGUGGAAGAGAGGAAAGGGGGUGGCCUGGAAGAGAACCUCCAACGCCAACUGAAAUGCCGGAACACCACCCAGCAGCGAGCAGGGCCUCUGAUGACCUCUGAGCUGAUGGGGGACGAGGUCACAGCAGGCUCUGGGAUGCCGGGGCCUGGUGGAGAUCUUCCUGCGAAGUGGCCCUGAAGAGACGCCCUGUUUAUCCUGAGGUUUCGUGCACUCCCCACCCAUGUACCAGCCUCGCCCGCCCUCAGGUUCCAUGAGGGGGACCAUCGCCCCCUAGCGGUCAGGCCAGGAACCUCCCAACCCCUGGGCUGGAGUUCUAAGCCUUAUUCUUUUCCCUCUCUUCACACCCCAAGUCCCCAGGGCCUCCAGCGCCCAUCUGGGGUCUGCCCUCCUGUACCAGGGGUUAGGGAGUGGCUCCCAGGAGCCAGGAGCUGCUCUGGCUCUGGGGAGACGACACUGAGACACCGCCCGCACCCAGAGGCAGCCCCUGCGUGAAUGAAGCCACGAGGCUGAGCCAGCAAGCAGGGCCAGAGAGCCUCCGAUGGCCCAGUGGGCUCAAAGCGGGUGGGCAGAGGGAAGGGCUGGGGCGAGACCCUAGGGGCCUCGUGGGGGUGACAUGUGCGCCCACAGAUUGCAAGUUGCUGCAUCAGGGCACUGUGUGGAGGAGCUGGGACUUCGCCCCAUAGGUCCAGCCCUGUAGGGCCUCGGCUGGGGUGGGCGUCUUUCCGAAUCUCCUCCCGUCCCCAGCACCAGUGAACCAGGCUGCGGUGGUGGGUGGUGGGUGGGACUUACAACCAGGUUUAAAGCGGCAGCGAUGUGGUCAGGUGACCAUGUUGGAGGAGCACUCAGGUUACUGAAUGGACAGAAGGAGGCGGGAAGGCUGUUAGGGGCCGUUGCAAAACCUACUCAGGGGAGAUGGCAGUGGGGUGGACGGGAAGACGGGAACAAAUGUCAGCAUAUUUCGCUGGUUGGAAGUAGGGUGCAGCCAUGGAUGGUGAGGGGCCACAGUCGUCAAGGGGGCUCCAGGCGCUGUGGCCCCCGUGGUGGCGGCACAGGCUGGCCAGGGGAGGGAGGGCUGCGGGGAGACUGUGGCCGAUGCGUUCGGUUUGGGAAGGCCGAGUCCGCAGAGCGGCCCGCAGACAGCUGGACGUACAAGUCGGACCGGGUCACGCUGGGGCCCCAGACGACGGUCCCUCCCGAGGAGGCCUGUGCUGUCUUCAGGCCUCCCAGUGACACCCCGCAGUGCAAGGACCCUCCGCGGCCGCCUGAGGCCAUUCCUUUCUGCCUGACGGCCUUUCAGCGUGAACAGCGCCCUGCUUCCCAGCGCUCAGUUCCUCGGUCGAUGACAAGGGAGCAGGAUCCACGACCAAGAAAACAAGUCACCCAACCUUUCUGCUAACUGGGAGCUGGUGCCUCUUCUGUCUGUCAAGCUCCCUUAGAAGCCAGACUCCCACUGAUAUGUCCCCUCCCCUAACCUCCCCUUCCCUAAAAAUCUCCCUAAAGGAGGCCAGAGAGAGAUGAAGCCUGCUUCUCUGUCGGGGUGGGAGAUGGGCAGAGAACAAAGCCUUCCCUGUGGAGAAUUCAAAGGAAUCCCCCGCCCCCCACUCCAUCUUCACAAUGGCCUUGUUCAACUGAAGCCAGUGUGUGGAUGUCUAAGAAGCACCUACUGUGUGCCCAGCAGUGGCCAGAUGACCGUGAAGAGAGGCAGCCAAGAGGGCUAUCACCUGCCCUUGGGGGGCUUCGGUGCAGUUGGAACAGAGAUGCAGGGGGAGGGGGAGGAUGGAGGGCUCAGAUUCGGUGACGGGAGUCGAAGCCAGCUCUGCAGCCUCCCCAGCCGAGCGCUGCUAACGUGAGGCGAGAGCCCGCUCGUGGGGUGGUUGUGAGAUGUCCAUCUCCUGGCGCACAGGACGCUGGGAGACAGCGCUGACGUCAUGCCUACUCGGUCGGGCCUUGUUCUGGUAGAUCAUUUAAUUCUCCGAGGCCUUGCAGAGUGCUGCAGGAACCUGGCCAAGCUCACAGGCCCGUAUGAGGCAGAGUCAGGCUACGGGCUCCAGCAG
Molecule: long non-coding RNA, 3106 nt
Organism: Myotis brandtii (Brandt's bat)
Lineage: Eukaryota; Metazoa; Chordata; Mammalia; Chiroptera; Vespertilionidae
Exons: 3
Source: RefSeq, a predicted model, not a curated record